Molecule: long non-coding RNA, 2455 nt
Organism: Zea mays
Lineage: Eukaryota; Viridiplantae; Streptophyta; Magnoliopsida; Poales; Poaceae
Exons: 2
Source: RefSeq, a predicted model, not a curated record
UACAUGUAAACCAAGAACAAGCUUGUCAAUUUAUUAAUUUUGUGACAUCUAUCUUUAACCUGCUUUGUGGUUCUCCAUCUAUUUUUUAUGGUAACUUGAUUGUACUCCUUCUGCACAUCUGUCCAUAUAUGGUUUCGCUUAGCAAAUUAAACUAAAAUCUUAUUUAUUGGUUAUGGCAUCCUCCUGUUUAAUACUGGUAUGGAUGUAUAUAUAUCAUAUGUGAUCUAGAAUGCAUGUCUGAGCAUAUUGGUUUGGAAAUUCCAUAUUGUCUCUAACUUGUCCUAAUAGUAUUCAGUUAGAAAAAAAUGUGUGCCAUAUAUAUGAAAGGAACACAUGUGGGAAGGUUCAUGUUUAUGUAAUGACCCAUGCUGUCCAGAUCAUUGCACAUUGGAUCAAAAUUUAGCUCGGUAAUUCUCCACAUUAGUAGUUUUAGAGGCCAGUCAGUCUAGCACCAACAGCCAAUACACCAAGCAGAAUCAAAGUUGUCCCAGUUCAGUGGUAUUCGUCAAUUAAAAGCAUCGAUGAAUUAGCAAUAAUUACUCUAGGAAGGGAUGAGUUAGAAUUUUGAAUCAGACAACAGGGAUGAUGGAAACAGAUCGCAGACAAGAGCUCACUCGACUCACAAUCUAUUUAUCCAAGAAUUCUUUUUUGUGUUUCUUAUUUUCAUAUGGUUAAGUACCUUUGUGUUUCUCUAAAAUGGGUUCAGGUUCUUUCUUCUAGCCCAUGCUGCAGUCUAUCCUUUUUUGUUUUCUUUUUGUUAUUUGAAAACAACAGACAAGAACAGUUUGUCUUGUCUACCACCGUGACUUUUUCUACUGAAACAUUAUUAGGUGCAUUCACUGUUGGUGUGCGGUUUGCCAAUAAUGUGCAUGGAGGGAUACAGUUUAUUGACGGGGCAAGAAUGAGUUCUUGCCAGUGAGGUGCUAGCUUUCACCCUUCUCUCUCCAUUAAACUAUUUUAGCCAGCUGUAGAAAUUCUGCCUGUAUUUUUCUAAGAUGCAAUCAAUUGAAAGACUAGCAAACUAGCCAUGUAGCCAUGCUUUAUUCUUGUUCUUGUCUUGUUUUCCUUAUGUAUUAAUUCCUUAAUUUGUAAUGCACAUGAUGAAGGCUGAUAUCUAGGCAAUCUCUCUUAAGCUUUGGUAAGCUUACAUACUUUUGCUAUGGAUCCUUUCGAAUCAGUUACAAGGUAACACUUUUUUUGCCUUGCAUGUCGGCAUUGUGCACAACUUAAUGGUACGUACCUGGACGAACUUCUAAUCACCACGGUUACUUUUUUAGUGGAACCAUAAACUGCUAUACUGUUUUGAUCAAAUUGGUGUUGUCAGCAUUGUAUGGCUGCAAUUAAAAGUUGAAGUUCGUAUUGAAGUGAUUGGCAUGUUAAUUUGACGUGCAAUCUAAAAUUUACCUAAAAGUCACACUGUCACGUGGAUGAUCUCCAGAGAUGGUACAAAGAAACAUGAUAUCAUGUUACUCUAAACUGUAAUUUAAAUAUGGUCCUCAUGUUUUCCUGUUAGCAGGUGUUCCAAUUGAAGUCAUCCAGAGAGCUGACAUUGUUUUGGAGGACAUUCAUUCCAAGAAACCUACAAGGCGUGUGAUCAGUGAGAAAUUACCAACAACAGACAAGAGGAGUACCAAGUGUAUGACUUGGUGUGCAAUGAUAUUUAACGACAAAGAAUAUCUAUUCUGAUGUUACAUAUAGACUGAUGGAAAAUAUGGUAAUGGUGCUGCUCUAAAUAGUUGUUUCCCUCUUUUACCAAAAUAAUAUCAUGCUUGAGCUUCUGUUUGCAGAUGCCAAGAAAGAUGACCCUCUAGGUUUACAACAUCUUGCACUGUGUCAUGCGUGUUACCGGCCAAACGACAACACAAUGGAGUACGGCGACGGCAAGAACUACCUCUGCAGGAACCGGUUGAACGAGUACUUUGACGACGCGUGGGUGGAGCAGACCUGGUGGGCGGACAAAUGAGACUGCGUCGUCGUCCAGCACGAGCACCCCUCGCGCGACGUCGACUACGACGAUGAAGAUCUGGCUGUGCCUGUAACCCCAUGCCAAUCCAAGGACGACGAGCACCAACGGGACCAGGCGAGCGGCGACCAGGGGACAACUGUAGGCCUCCCCCUCUUUCUCGCCUCCACUCACCCGCCACCACCCCCAACGGCGAGGGAGUGAGAGAUCGACAACAUCUCAGGGCCUAGCAGGGCAGCUGCAUUGCGCUAUGGCGGCCAUGGCCGAUCUGUACGACGAGGAUAAGGGCCCAUCGCUAAAGAGCCAGCAGUCGCGCCCUGGCCUCCACCUCAAGCCCACCAUUGAGAUCUUUAAUUAUUAGAUCUUCAUGCUUAUUUUGAUUAUACACUACCUUGGUUAAUUUUCGAUCAUCUCCAUGGGUACAUUUUUUCUUAGUUGCUUAAACUAGCACUAUUUCGCACAAAUUGUAUUAGUACAAGAUUUGAUGUAAAA